GCAAGUCGAGCGGGCGAGGUUGCUUCGGUAACUGAGCUAGCGGCGGACGGGUGAGUAUGCUUAGGAAUCUGCCUAUUAGGUGGGGGACAACAUUCCGAAAAGGGAUGCUAAUACCGCAUACGUCCUACGGGAGAAAGCGAGGGGCUCUUUAUGACCUUGCGCUAAUAGAUGAGCCUAAGUCGGAUUAGCUAGUUGGUGGGGUAAAGGCCUACCAAGGCGACGAUCUGUAGCGGGUCUGAGAGGAUGAUCCGCCACACUGGGACUGAGACACGGCCCAGACUCCUACGGGAGGCAGCAGUGGGGAAUAUUGGACAAUGGGGGAACCCUGAUCCAGCCAUGCCGCGUGUGUGAAGAAGGCCUUUUGGUUGUAAAGCACUUUAAGUGGGGAGGAGGCUUACCUGGUUAAUACCUGGGCUAAGUGGACGUUACCCACAGAAUAAGCACCGGCUAACUCUGUG
RNAcentral lists this ribosomal RNA (458 nucleotides) under uncultured bacterium. RNAcentral describes it as "bacterial SSU rRNA". It matches the Rfam family "Bacterial small subunit ribosomal RNA", at positions 57 to 507 of the family's 1533-position model. The record is from RNAcentral.